UAUUGUGGAUGGAUAGUCAACAAAACGAAACGGGGGACCAUACCACCAACAGACCAUCUGUUUCUCCACAAGAUGACCUUCAUCAAGUAUAUAGCCAUGUUUCCUGAAGGACUGCUGAUAAUGGACCUCAAAGCAGUUUGAUGUGCAAACAGUGGAAUGCCCAUCAAGAAGACAAGCAAUUCAGGAGAUGUCAUAUUUGGUGAAGUUGAAAUGGACAAUGCAUCUAAUGAGGAACUUUUGGUUUGUUUGAAAAACUAUGAAGACAACAUUAAAGCAUAGCUCCUGUGAAGCAAGUCAGAUUAAAGCUAAGGAAUGAACCUUGGAUGGACUCAGAUAUUUUGCAGGCUAUAAAUGAAAGAGAUAGAGCUUUCCACACAUAUCAAGUUGACAAG
Long non-coding RNA from Dreissena polymorpha, 392 nucleotides. RefSeq lists it as uncharacterized. The transcript is spliced from 4 exons. The record is from RefSeq and is a predicted model, not a curated record. NCBI's taxonomy places the organism in Eukaryota, Metazoa, Mollusca, Bivalvia, Myida, Dreissenidae.